GAAUUAUUGGACAGAAUCUAUACAGAAAUUCAACACAAACACACAUACAGGGGGUGGUUGGUGUGUUUUUUUCCAAUAUGAAACUCACAUGGGCCCCACCCCAUAUGAGUAUCCUGUUUUUCUUUUGUUGGAAUAAUUCUGUACGUGCAGAAUUAUUGAAUAAAUUUAUACAAUCGAAAUCUUGAGGUAAAAACAUACAAUGUGACUUGUAAAGACGGCUUUUCUAUUCAGAUAUCAAGGCUAUAAUAACAAAAAAUACAGUUUUUAAAUAUGUGGAAUGAGUAUCAAUGCAGGUCAUUGUGAGGUUUACAUGUCAAUAUCUCCAUUUUCAAAACUGUAAUACAUCCACAGCA
Molecule: long non-coding RNA, 353 nt
Filed under: Olea europaea subsp. europaea
Lineage: Eukaryota; Viridiplantae; Streptophyta; Magnoliopsida; Lamiales; Oleaceae
Source: RNAcentral